UACGUAGGGUGCGAGCGUUAAUCGGAAUUACUGGGCGUAAAGCGUGCGCAGGCGGGCUUUUAAGCCAGACGUGAAAUCCCCGGGCUUAACCUGGGAAUGGCGUUUGGGACUGGAAGUCUGGAGUGUGGCAGAGGAGACUGGAAUUCCUGGUGUAGCAGUGAAAUGCGUAGAUAUCAGGAGGAAUACCGAUGGCGAAGGCAGGUCUCUGGGCUGACACUGACGCUCAUGCACGAAAGCGUGGGGAGCAAACAGG
RNAcentral lists this ribosomal RNA (253 nucleotides) under uncultured bacterium. RNAcentral's name for it is "partial 16S ribosomal RNA". It matches the Rfam family "Bacterial small subunit ribosomal RNA", at positions 524 to 776 of the family's 1533-position model. The record is from RNAcentral.